AGCGAACGCUGGCGGCAGGCCUAACACAUGCAAGUCGAACGAAGUCUUCGGACUUAGUGGCGGACGGGUGAGUAACACGUGGGAACGUGCCUUUAGGUUCGGAAUAACUCAGGGAAACUUGUGCUAAUACCGAAUGUGCCCUUCGGGGGAAAGAUUUAUCGCCUUUAGAGCGGCCCGCGUCUGAUUAGCUAGUUGGUGAGGUAAAGGCUCACCAAGGCGACGAUCAGUAGCUGGUCUGAGAGGAUGAUCAGCCACAUUGGGACUGAGACACGGCCCAGACUCCUACGGGAGGCAGCAGUGGGGAAUCUUGCGCAAUGGGCGAAAGCCUGACGCAGCCAUGCCGCGUGAAUGAUGAAGGUCUUAGGAUUGUAAAAUUCUUUCACCGGGGACGAUAAUGACAGUACCCGGAGAAGAAGCCCCGGCUAACUUCGUGCCAGCCGCCGCGGUAA
This 449-nucleotide ribosomal RNA is filed under the name uncultured bacterium. RNAcentral's name for it is "partial 16S ribosomal RNA". It matches the Rfam family "Bacterial small subunit ribosomal RNA", at positions 29 to 523 of the family's 1533-position model. The record is from RNAcentral.